AGUGAACGCUGGCGGUAGGCCUAACACAUGCAAGUCGAACGGCAGCACAGUAAGAGCUUGCUCUUACGGGUGGCGAGUGGCGGACGGGUGAGGAAUACAUCGGUAUCUACUUGUUCGGGGGGGAUAACGUAGGGAAACUCACGUUAAUACCGCAUACGACCUACGGGUGAAAGCAGGGGGUCUUCGGACCUUGCGCGAUUGAAUGAGUGGAUGUCGGAUUAGCUAGUUGGCGGGGUAAAGGCCGACCAAGGCGACGAACCGUAGCUGGUCUGAGAGGGUGGUCCGCCACACUGGAACUGAGACACGGUCCAGACUCCUACGGGAGGCAGCAGUGGGGAAUAUUGCGCAAUGGGCGAAAGCCUGAUCCAGCAAUACCGCGUGGGUGAUGAAGGCCUUCGGGUUGUAAAGCCCUUUUGUUGGGAAAGAAAAAAAGCAGGUUAAUCCCCGGCUGUUCUGACGGUACCCAAAGAAUAAGCACCGGCUAACUACGUG
Molecule: ribosomal RNA, 492 nt
Filed under: uncultured bacterium
Lineage: Bacteria
Description: partial 16S ribosomal RNA
Rfam family: Bacterial small subunit ribosomal RNA
Source: RNAcentral